Molecule: transfer RNA, 73 nt
Filed under: Trichonephila inaurata madagascariensis
Lineage: Eukaryota; Metazoa; Arthropoda; Arachnida; Araneae; Nephilidae
Rfam family: tRNA
About the family: Transfer RNA (tRNA) molecules are approximately 80 nucleotides in length. Their secondary structure includes four short double-helical elements and three loops (D, anti-codon, and T loops).
Source: Rfam by way of RNAcentral
GGGAGCGUAGCUGAGAUGGUAGAGCGCUCGCUUAGCAUGCGAGAGAUACGGGGAGUGACACCCCGCGCCUCCA